Glycine soja is the source of this 4102-nucleotide long non-coding RNA. RefSeq lists it as uncharacterized. Lineage: Eukaryota; Viridiplantae; Streptophyta; Magnoliopsida; Fabales; Fabaceae. The record is from RefSeq and is a predicted model, not a curated record. The transcript is spliced from 5 exons.
GCUUUUGAUUUCUCUCCCCUUUGGAUUUGCUCUCCACGGUUUCCAUUGUUUCACGCUUUCCAUUUUCCAUUGUGACUUUUCGAUUGUGGCUUUGGAAUUUUCUCCCAUUUGGAUUUGCUCUCAUGUGAUGACUCACCGUAGGUGCACUUCAUUCCUCAUUUUGUUUAGAUACUUAUCAUGAGCUUAUCGUUUCCUAUAUGAAGCUUUUCGAUUUUUUGUGGGUGGUUUGUUGUAAUGAACCAUUUUGGUCGGGCUUUGUUGCAUUUUGAUGUUGCAUGUGCAUCAUUUAAUACCUUUUUUUGGUUUUCUAACUUAUGGCAACACAAAAGCUUAGAGCUUUGUUGAUUUUAUCAUUAGUUUAUUGUUUCCUAUACCCAGCUUUCUUGCCUUUUGAUCUUGCAUGCGCAUCAUUUAGUUCCUUUUUUGCCUAUUCUGAUUUAUCGAAACACAAAAGGUUACAUUUUUUAUUGUGAAUCCUAUUUUGUUUUUCAUUUGCUUACAUUAUUGUUUUGAAAAUUUCUUAUAUGUUUUUAUAUUUGCUUGCAUGUUGGCCGAGAACAACAAAGAAGCCGAAAACCAUAACUAGAAAGAAUGGCAGUAAACGGGGUCCCACAACCCUAGUUACAGGUUUGUUUUUGAAAUCUGUUAUACUUGCUUAAAUUUUAUUUUUUGGCAUGUUGAUGUUCGUCUCCGUUUUGCUUGUUUUGCCACAUGUUUUGUUCAUUUAUCGUUUCCUAUACCCAGCUUUGUUGCCUUUUGAUCUUGCAUUUGCAUCAUUUAGUACCUUUCUUUGGUAUGUUGAUGUUCGUCUCCGUUUUGCAUGGUUUGCCACAUGUUUUGUUCAUUUAUCGUUUCCUAUACCCAGCUUUGUUGCCUUUUGAUCUUGCAUUUGCAUCAUUUAGUACCUUUUUUUGGUGUUCUGAUGACUCACAACACAAAAGCUUACAUUUUUAUUCUGAAUGAGUGGAUGUGUUUUUGUUAUGGUAUUUGACUUUUCGCAAGCUAACAAGACAAAAGCUUAUACCUUUGUUGAUUUUAUCAUUAGUUUAAAGUUUGGUAUACACAGCUUAUCGAUUUUUAGUGGGUGGUUUGUUGUAAUCAACUAUUUUUUUGGGCUUUGUUGCGUUUUGAUGAUGCAUGUGCAUGAUUUGCAAGCUUUUUUUGGUUUUCUGAUUUAUCGCAACACAAACUUUUUAUGGAUGUCUAUGUUUGGCAUUGUUCAGAUCUGUAUCAGUGGAUUUAAUGGCUUAGACCUAUGUUCAUUUUAUCAUUACUUAAUCGUUUCCUAUACCUAGAUUUCUUGCCUUUUGAUCUUGCAUCUGCAUCAUUUAUUGUGAAUCUUGUUUUGAAUAUCGAUUUGGUUACAUUAUUGUUUGAAGUCUCAUUUAUAUUUGCUUAAAUUUUUUUGUCCAUGUUCAUGUUCAUGUUCGUUGUGCAUCUUUUGCCACAUGUUUCGGAUCAAUUAAUUUGUACUCAUGUCUAGCAAACCAAACCCCAUAUGUGAACUACCAUGUUUGACUUCUGAAUGAGUUGCUGAGAGGGUCAGCUUUGUAACUUUUUAUGGAUGUCCAUGUUUUGCAUUAGUCAGAUGGGUAUCAGUCAUUAAUCGCAAGACAAGAGCUUACAUUUUGAUUGUAAAUCCUGUUUUAUUUAUGACUUGCUUACAUUAUUGUUUUAAAAAAAAUCCUAUCAUGUUACAAACAAGGGCUUCACAAUACCUUUUUUUGGUGUUCUGAUUUAUCGCAAUACAAAAGGUUACAUUUUUAUUGUGAAUCCUGUUUUAUUUUUUAGUUGCUUACAUUAUUGUUUUAAUAAAUUCUUAUAUGUUUUUAUUUGCUUGCAUGUUGCCUGAGAACAACAAAGAAGCUGAAAAGGAAAACUAGAAAGAACGGCAAUCAACGGUAUGUUUUCCUAUACGCAACUUUUUAUCUUUCGUUGUUGGUUUGUUGUAAUCAACCAUUUUUGUGGGCCUUUGUUGCAUUUUGAUCUUGCAUGUGCAUCAUUUACUACCUAAUUUGGUUUUUUGAUGUAUCGCAAGACAAAAGCUUACAUUUUUAAAAACCUUGGUUUGCCAUGUUUGCCAUGUUUGAGUUUUGAAUCAGUUGUGAGACAAACAACUUCAUAACCUUUUUUGGAUUUCCAAGUUGCCCAUAAUUCAUAUCUGUUUAAGUGGAUACAUCAGAAAAAGCUUACAACUUUGUUCAUUUUAUCAUUAGUUUAUCCUUUCCUAUACCCAGCUUCCAAGCUUUUUGAUGCUACAUGUACAUCAUGUGGUACCCUUUCUAUGGGUUCAAUUUUAUCUCAGCACAGAGGCUUACAUUUUUAUUGUGAAUUCUAUUUUUAAUAUCGAUUUGGUUACAUUAUUGUUUGAAGUCUCAUUUAUAUUUGCUUAAUUUUUUUUGUCCAUGUUCAUGUUCAUGUCCGUUGUGCAUCUUUUGCCACAUGUUUCAGAUCAAUUAAUUUGUACUCGUGUCUAGCAAACAAAACCACAUAUGUGAACUGUCAAGUUUGACUUCAGAAUGAGUUGUUGAGAGGUCAGCUUUAUAACUUUUAUGGAUGUCCAUCUUUUGCAUUGGUCAGAUGGGUAUCAGUCAUUAAUCGCAAGACAAGAGCUUACAUUUUGAUUGUAAAUCCUUUUUUAUUUUUGACUUGCUUACAUUAUUGUUUUAAAAAAAUCUUAUCAUGUUACAAACAAGGGCUUCACAGUACCUUUUUUUGGUGUUCUGAUUUAUCGCAAUACAAAAGGUUACAUUUUCAUUGUGAAUCCUGUUUUAUUUUGGACUCAUGUCUAGCAAACAAAACCACAUAUGUGAACUGCCAUGUUUGACUUCUGAAUGAGUUGCUGAGAGGUCAGCUUUGUAACUUUUAUGGAUGUCCAUCUUUUGCAUUGGUCAGAUGGGUAUCAAUCAUUAAUCGCAAGAAAAGAGCUUACAUUUUGAUUGUAAAUCCUUUUUUAUUUUUGACUUGCUUACAUUAUUGUUUUAAAAAAAUCUUAUCAUGUUACAAACAAGGGCUUCACAGUACCUUUUUUUGGUGUUCUGAUUUAUCGCAAUACAAAAGGUUACAUUUUCAUUGUGAAUCCUGUUUUAUUUUGGAGUUGCUUACAUUAUUGUUUUAAUAAAUUCUUAUAUGUUUUUAUUUGCUUGCAUGUUUCCUGAGAAAAACAAAGAAACUGAAAAGGAAAACUAGAAAGAACGGCAGUCAACGGUUGGCAAGUAGUAUAGUAACGUACAUUUUAAAGCUUCAUAUCAAUGCUGACGUAGUUAUCCAGGGCUCAUCAAAUUGGAUGGCAACAACAUGAUUUAUAGUAGCAUUUUGUGUUGACAAGAACAACAUUGAAGUUCCAUUGACUUACCAUAGACAAUGGAGGUCAUAUUACCCAACUUAUGUUUUAUUUGACUAUAAUGGAAGCAAGCAUUUUGUUAGGCUGCGCAAAUAUGACACACGAUACUUUUUUGCUGAUGGGCUGAAAGAGUUUAUAAGAGCCCACGACAUUAAUGACAGUGUCAUUAUCCGGUUUUUUGCUCCCUCAAAAGAUACUUAUUUCGACGUUGACGUCAUGGGACCUAUCCAUAGACAGACACGUGGAAGGUCGGUUGUUACAACUAGAAGGCACAUCUUUAUAGCUGAUGUCACACAAGAGAUGAUGGAACACAACAACCCUUUGGUUCUUCCAGCAGCAGCUUUAAAUUUUUUGUUUGGAUCAAAAAAAUAUAUUCUUGUUCAACGUGGCUAUGACAUACGUAACCAAUGGCAUAUCACCGUGCAUAAUGGUUUACCAUCUGUUGCAGAACCAUGGUUCCAAUACCUCUCUAAAAAUAAUUUAAUGGCCGGAGAUGAAGUCGUGUUCUUCUUCAGGUUUGACGAACAUGUAUGGGAGGUCAUAUUUAGGAAUCAAGUUAUAUGGGAUGAGGACCUCUCCAAUUGAAGACCAUGCCUACAGACACUGACUUUUUUUUUGUUUAUUUUCAUUUAUAUUUUGAUUAAUGUUGUUAAUCAAAUAACUUAGGGUAUCAAACAAUUUCUUUCACUUUCUACUGCACAGUUAAUGGUUAUGAACUUAUUUUGUUGGCUUAUAUGUAUUACUUUGUUCAUUCCAAUA